RNAcentral lists this ribosomal RNA (253 nucleotides) under uncultured bacterium. RNAcentral's name for it is "partial 16S ribosomal RNA". It matches the Rfam family "Bacterial small subunit ribosomal RNA", at positions 524 to 776 of the family's 1533-position model. The record is from RNAcentral.
CACGUAGGGCGCAAGCGUUGUCCGGAAUUAUUGGGCGUAAAGAGCUCGUAGGCGGUCUGUUGCGUCCGCUGUGAAAACCCGGGGCUUAACCCUGGGCUGGCAGUGGAUACGGACAGACUAGAGGUAGGUAGGGGAGAAUGGAAUUCCCGGUGUAGCGGUGAAAUGCGUAGAUAUCGAGAGGAACACCUGCGGCGAAGGCGGGUUGCUGGGCUGACACUGACGCUGAUGCGCGAAAGCCAGGGGAGCGAACGGG